GCCGGCGUAGCUCGGUUGGUUAGAGCGUGGGACUCAUAAACCCAAGGUUGGAGGUUCGAUUCCUCCCGCCGGCA
This 74-nucleotide transfer RNA is filed under the name bacterium. Its description in RNAcentral is "tRNA-Met". It matches the Rfam family "tRNA". Rfam says of the family: Transfer RNA (tRNA) molecules are approximately 80 nucleotides in length. Their secondary structure includes four short double-helical elements and three loops (D, anti-codon, and T loops). The record is from RNAcentral.